RNAcentral lists this long non-coding RNA (274 nucleotides) under Phoenix dactylifera (date palm). RNAcentral describes it as "long non-coding RNA (PDAC_LNC022333)". Lineage: Eukaryota; Viridiplantae; Streptophyta; Magnoliopsida; Arecales; Arecaceae. The record is from RNAcentral.
CUCAUCAUGAUACUUCCUAAUGGAAAAUGAAACCAGCACCUGCUUAUUGACCUUAAUUUCUCCACAAUCAUUCAACCAUUGAAGCUUAUAAGGUCCAGGAUGCUUAAUAGUAGGUAAGUUCAACUUUUCAACCAAAACAGUGCUUGCUACAUUAGUGCAGCUACCCCCAUCAAUUAUCAUGCUGCAUAUCUUGUCUUGGAUGUUGGGGUGUGAAAGAUGUUAUCUCGCUGUGCAUCAUCCUCCUCCUCUACUUGCACAUUCAAAGCUCUCCUGG